GAGGGUGCAAGCGUUGUCCGGAAUCAUUGGGCGUAAAGAGUUCGUAGGUGGUUUGUUAAGUUUGGUGUUAAAUGCAGAUGCUCAACAUCUGUUCGGCAUCGGAUACUGGCAGACUAGAAUGCGGUAGAGGUAAAGGGAAUUCCUGGUGUAGCAGUGAAAUGCGUAGAUAUCAAGAGGAACAUCGGUGGCGUAAGCGCUUUACUGGGCCGUAAUUGACACUGAGGAACGAAAGCCAGAGUAGCA
This 243-nucleotide ribosomal RNA is filed under the name uncultured bacterium. RNAcentral describes it as "partial 16S ribosomal RNA". It matches the Rfam family "Bacterial small subunit ribosomal RNA", at positions 528 to 770 of the family's 1533-position model. The record is from RNAcentral.